Long non-coding RNA from Sapajus apella (tufted capuchin), 998 nucleotides. RefSeq lists it as uncharacterized. Lineage: Eukaryota; Metazoa; Chordata; Mammalia; Primates; Cebidae. The record is from RefSeq and is a predicted model, not a curated record. The transcript is spliced from 3 exons.
GUGACCGCGAGCCCCGCUACCGCUUUAAAGAGGCGCGGGCGCAAUACAGAGGCUUCAGGAAAGACCUGCUGAGAGCGCUCCGGUGCAGGGUGGGCGGUGUGCACGCCGGGGUGUGCCGGCCUCUGGCCUCACACCCCGGGGUGCUCCGGGGCGAGCUGGAAAAGUCCCCGGCCACAGUCAACCCCGUUUCGGCGGCCGGAGCCUGCCCCCUUCCCGGGCCAGCUGAGCGCCGGGGUUCAGGGAAGUAUAGCUGUCCGGCCUGCCACGGGGGAUGGGUUCCUCUAAACAGUCCGGCGGCGCCCCCUUGACGCGACUCUCCUGGCCGCUCAUUUGGGGGGUGAGUGCAGGAGAGACUGUGGGUCCCCGGAAACCGACCUCUCUGUCUCUAAGACACAUUGAUGGCACCGGGACCCCCCGCUCGGCUCGGUGCUCACGGCCGGGGACCGGCGGCGGUCCCCUUGAUGCGGUCCUGGAAGGCAGCGAGCAGGAGAGCAGCGCCUCCUUAAGUGGCGCCGGCCGUCCUUAGUCCCCUCCCCCUGGCGCUCCGGCUGGUUGUCACCCGCAUCCACCCAGCGCCUCCCUUCCUCCUUUCCUCCGCUCCAACGUCUCCGGUAUGCCCGGCGGCCCGCCCCGCUCACCUGCGCCGACCGCUAAGGGGGCGCCCUUACCUGCGCCUCGAAAGCUCCAACCCUGAUGGCUGCAUCACACUUGAUUAAAAGAAUCCUGGCUGGAGGCUGGGCAUGGUGGCUUAUGCCUGUAAUCCCAGCUCUUUGGGAGGUCAAGGAUUUGAUAGAAAUGCUCCAAGAAAAGCAGGCUGUCCCUUCUGAAAUGAUGAGUGGUAAUGACCAUGCAGGUCAACUUUUCCACCACUUAGAGGGAGCCUGGCAAAGAACAAAGACAAUAGAGAAGAAAGCAGAGCUGAGGCUGAGUGAGAGGGAGAAAUUCCUGUGUGCUUGAAUCCCACAUGCCUGAAGGUGCACCACACUUGGUCUUCUCAA